UGGGGUGUAGCUCAGUGACAGAGUGCUUAUCUAGCAUGUGCAAGGCCCUGGGUUCAAUCCCCAGUACCACAA
Molecule: non-coding RNA, 72 nt
Organism: Ictidomys tridecemlineatus (thirteen-lined ground squirrel)
Lineage: Eukaryota; Metazoa; Chordata; Mammalia; Rodentia; Sciuridae
Source: Rfam